UAGGGAAUCUUCCACAAUGGGCGAAAGCCUGAUGGAGCAACGCCGCGUGUGUGAUGAAGGGUUUCGGCUCGUAAAACACUGUUGUAAGAGAAGAAUGACAUUGAGAGUAACUGUUCAAUGUGUGACGGUAUCUUACCAGAAAGGAACGGCUAAAUACGUUCCAG
Molecule: ribosomal RNA, 164 nt
Filed under: uncultured bacterium
Lineage: Bacteria
Description: partial 16S ribosomal RNA
Rfam family: Bacterial small subunit ribosomal RNA
Source: RNAcentral